CAGUCGCCGCGGGAAUACAGAGGCCUCAAGCGUUGUUCGGAUUCAUUGGGCGUAAAGGGAGCGUAGGCGGUCGGGUAAGUUGGAUGUGAAAUCCUGGGGCUCAACCUCAGAACUGCAUUCAAUACUGCUUGGCUAGAGUAUUGGAGAGGUGAGUGGAAUUCACGGUGUAGCAGUGAAAUGCGUAGAUAUCGUGAGGAAGACCAGCGGCGAAGGCGGCUCACUGGACAAUUACUGACGCUGAUGCUCGAAGGCCAGGGGAGCAAACGGGAUUAGAUACCCGUGUAGUCCCUGUCUCUUAUAC
RNAcentral lists this ribosomal RNA (301 nucleotides) under uncultured bacterium. RNAcentral's name for it is "partial 16S ribosomal RNA". It matches the Rfam family "Bacterial small subunit ribosomal RNA", at positions 509 to 807 of the family's 1533-position model. The record is from RNAcentral.